RNAcentral lists this transfer RNA (76 nucleotides) under Candidatus Methanomassiliicoccus intestinalis Issoire-Mx1. RNAcentral's name for it is "tRNA-Gln (CTG) (tRNA-Gln-CTG-1-1)". It matches the Rfam family "tRNA". From Rfam's summary of the family: Transfer RNA (tRNA) molecules are approximately 80 nucleotides in length. Lineage: Archaea; Methanobacteriati; Thermoplasmatota; Thermoplasmata; Methanomassiliicoccales; Methanomassiliicoccaceae. The record is from RNAcentral. RNAcentral also lists the same sequence under 1 other name.
AGCCCCGUAGUGUAGCGGUCAAUCAUAUGAGACUCUGGAUCUUGUGACAGCAGUUCGAAUCUGCUCGGGGCUACCA